RNAcentral lists this ribosomal RNA (2923 nucleotides) under Escherichia coli. RNAcentral's name for it is "bacterial LSU rRNA". It matches the Rfam family "Bacterial large subunit ribosomal RNA". Lineage: Bacteria; Pseudomonadati; Pseudomonadota; Gammaproteobacteria; Enterobacterales; Enterobacteriaceae. The record is from RNAcentral.
GGGUUGUGAGGUUAAGCGACUAAGCGUACACGGUGGAUGCCCUGGCAGUCAGAGGCGAUGAAGGACGUGCUAAUCUGCGAUAAGCGUCGGUGAGGUGAUAUGAACCGUUAUAACCGGCGAUUUCCGAAUGGGGAAACCCAGUGUGUUUCGACACACUAUCAUUAACUGAAUCCAUAGGUUAAUGAGGCGAACCGGGGGAACUGAAACAUCUAAGUACCCCGAGGAAAAGAAAUCAACCGAGAUUCCCCCAGUAGCGGCGAGCGAACGGGGAGGAGCCCAGAGCCUGAAUCAGUGUGUGUGUUAGUGGAAGCGUCUGGAAAGGCGUGCGAUACAGGGUGACAGCCCCGUACACAAAAAUGCACAUAUUGUGAGCUCGAUGAGUAGGGCGGGACACGUGGUAUCCUGUCUGAAUAUGGGGGGACCAUCCUCCAAGGCUAAAUACUCCUGACUGACCGAUAGUGAACCAGUACCGUGAGGGAAAGGCGAAAAGAACCCCGGCGAGGGGAGUGAAAAAGAACCUGAAACCGUGUACGUACAAGCAGUGGGAGCCUCUUAAUGGGGUGACUGCGUACCUUUUGUAUAAUGGGUCAGCGACUUAUAUUCUGUAGCAAGGUUAACCGAAUAGGGGAGUCGAAGGGAAACCGAGUCUUAACUGGGCGUUAAGUUGCAGGGUAUAGACCCGAAACCCGGUGAUCUAGCCAUGGGCAGGUUGAAGGUUGGGUAACACUAACUGGAGGACCGAACCGACUAAUGUUGAAAAAUUAGCGGAUGACUUGUGGCUGGGGGUGAAAGGCCAAUCAAACCGGGAGAUAGCUGGUUCUCCCCGAAAGCUAUUUAGGUAGCGCCUCGUGAAUUCAUCUCCGGGGGUAGAGCACUGUUUCGGCAAGGGGGUCAUCCCGACUUACCAACCCGAUGCAAACUGCGAAUACCGGAGAAUGUUAUCACGGGAGACACACGGCGGGUGCUAACGUCCGUCGUGAAGAGGGAAACAACCCAGACCGCCAGCUAAGGUCCCAAAGUCAUGGUUAAGUGGGAAACGAUGUGGGAAGGCCCAGACAGCCAGGAUGUUGGCUUAGAAGCAGCCAUCAUUUAAAGAAAGCGUAAUAGCUCACUGGUCGAGUCGGCCUGCGCGGAAGAUGUAACGGGGCUAAACCAUGCACCGAAGCUGCGGCAGCGACACUAUGUGUUGUUGGGUAGGGGAGCGUUCUGUAAGCCUGUGAAGGUGGCCUGUGAGGGUUGCUGGAGGUAUCAGAAGUGCGAAUGCUGACAUAAGUAACGAUAAAGCGGGUGAAAAGCCCGCUCGCCGGAAGACCAAGGGUUCCUGUCCAACGUUAAUCGGGGCAGGGUGAGUCGACCCCUAAGGCGAGGCCGAAAGGCGUAGUCGAUGGGAAACAGGUUAAUAUUCCUGUACUUGGUGUUACUGCGAAGGGGGGACGGAGAAGGCUAUGUUGGCCGGGCGACGGUUGUCCCGGUUUAAGCGUGUAGGCUGGUUUUCCAGGCAAAUCCGGAAAACCAAGGCUGAGGCGUGAUGACGAGGCACUACGGUGCUGAAGCGACAAAUGCCCUGCUUCCAGGAAAAGCCUCUAAGCAUCAGGUAACAUCAAAUCGUACCCCAAACCGACACAGGUGGUCAGGUAGAGAAUACCAAGGCGCUUGAGAGAACUCGGGUGAAGGAACUAGGCAAAAUGGUGCCGUAACUUCGGGAGAAGGCACGCUGAUAUGUAGGUGAAGCGACUUGCUCGUGGAGCUGAAAUCAGUCGAAGAUACCAGCUGGCUGCAACUGUUUAUUAAAAACACAGCACUGUGCAAACACGAAAGUGGACGUAUACGGUGUGACGCCUGCCCGGUGCCGGAAGGUUAAUUGAUGGGGUUAGCGGCAACGCGAAGCUCUUGAUCGAAGCCCCGGUAAACGGCGGCCGUAACUAUAACGGUCCUAAGGUAGCGAAAUUCCUUGUCGGGUAAGUUCCGACCUGCACGAAUGGCGUAAUGAUGGCCAGGCUGUCUCCACCCGAGACUCAGUGAAAUUGAACUCGCUGUGAAGAUGCAGUGUACCCGCGGCAAGACGGAAAGACCCGUGAACCUUUACUAUAGCUUGACACUGAACAUUGAGCCUUGAUGUGUAGGAUAGGUGGGAGGCUUUGAAGUGUGGACGCCAGUCUGCAUGGAGCCGACCUUGAAAUACCACCCUUUAAUGUUUGAUGUUCUAACGUUGGCCCGUAAUCCGGGUUGCGGACAGUGUCUGGUGGGUAGUUUGACUGGGGCGGUCUCCUCCUAAAGAGUAACGGAGGAGCACGAAGGUUGGCUAAUCCUGGUCGGACAUCAGGAGGUUAGUGCAAUGGCAUAAGCCAGCUUGACUGCGAGCGUGACGGCGCGAGCAGGUGCGAAAGCAGGUCAUAGUGAUCCGGUGGUUCUGAAUGGAAGGGCCAUCGCUCAACGGAUAAAAGGUACUCCGGGGAUAACAGGCUGAUACCGCCCAAGAGUUCAUAUCGACGGCGGUGUUUGGCACCUCGAUGUCGGCUCAUCACAUCCUGGGGCUGAAGUAGGUCCCAAGGGUAUGGCUGUUCGCCAUUUAAAGUGGUACGCGAGCUGGGUUUAGAACGUCGUGAGACAGUUCGGUCCCUAUCUGCCGUGGGCGCUGGAGAACUGAGGGGGCUGCUCCUAGUACGAGAGGACCGGAGUGGACGCAUCACUGGUGUUCGGGUUGUCAUGCCAAUGGCACUGCCCGGUAGCUAAAUGCGGAAGAGAUAAGUGCUGAAAGCAUCUAAGCACGAAACUUGCCCCGAGAUGAGUUCUCCCUGACUCCUUGAGAGUCCUGAAGGAACGUUGAAGACGACGACGUUGAUAGGCCGGGUGUGUAAGCGCAGCGAUGCGUUGAGCUAACCGGUACUAAUGAACCGUGAGGCUUAACCUUACAACGCCGAAG